RNAcentral lists this ribosomal RNA (2902 nucleotides) under Escherichia coli. Its description in RNAcentral is "bacterial LSU rRNA". It matches the Rfam family "Bacterial large subunit ribosomal RNA". RNAcentral also lists the same sequence under 2 other names. Lineage: Bacteria; Pseudomonadati; Pseudomonadota; Gammaproteobacteria; Enterobacterales; Enterobacteriaceae. The record is from RNAcentral.
UUAAGCGACUAAGCGUACACGGUGGAUGCCCUGGCAGUCAGAGGCGAUGAAGGACGUGCUAAUCUGCGAUAAGCGUCGGUGAGGUGAUAUGAACCGUUAUAACCGGCGAUUUCCGAAUGGGGAAACCCAGUGUGUUUCGACACACUAUCAUUAACUGAAUCCAUAGGUUAAUGAGGCGAACCGGGGGAACUGAAACAUCUAAGUACCCCGAGGAAAAGAAAUCAACCGAGAUUCCCCCAGUAGCGGCGAGCGAACGGGGAGGAGCCCAGAGCCUGAAUCAGUGUGUGUGUUAGUGGAAGCGUCUGGAAAGGCGCGCGAUACAGGGUGACAGCCCCGUACACAAAAAUGCACAUAUUGUGAGCUCGAUGAGUAGGGCGGGACACGUGGUAUCCUGUCUGAAUAUGGGGGGACCAUCCUCCAAGGCUAAAUACUCCUGACUGACCGAUAGUGAACCAGUACCGUGAGGGAAAGGCGAAAAGAACCCCGGCGAGGGGAGUGAAAAAGAACCUGAAACCGUGUACGUACAAGCAGUGGGAGCCUCUUUAUGGGGUGACUGCGUACCUUUUGUAUAAUGGGUCAGCGACUUAUAUUCUGUAGCAAGGUUAACCGAAUAGGGGAGCCGAAGGGAAACCGAGUCUUAACUGGGCGUUAAGUUGCAGGGUAUAGACCCGAAACCCGGUGAUCUAGCCAUGGGCAGGUUGAAGGUUGGGUAACACUAACUGGAGGACCGAACCGACUAAUGUUGAAAAAUUAGCGGAUGACUUGUGGCUGGGGGUGAAAGGCCAAUCAAACCGGGAGAUAGCUGGUUCUCCCCGAAAGCUAUUUAGGUAGCGCCUCGUGAAUUCAUCUCCGGGGGUAGAGCACUGUUUCGGCAAGGGGGUCAUCCCGACUUACCAACCCGAUGCAAACUGCGAAUACCGGAGAAUGUUAUCACGGGAGACACACGGCGGGUGCUAACGUCCGUCGUGAAGAGGGAAACAACCCAGACCGCCAGCUAAGGUCCCAAAGUCAUGGUUAAGUGGGAAACGAUGUGGGAAGGCCCAGACAGCCAGGAUGUUGGCUUAGAAGCAGCCAUCAUUUAAAGAAAGCGUAAUAGCUCACUGGUCGAGUCGGCCUGCGCGGAAGAUGUAACGGGGCUAAACCAUGCACCGAAGCUGCGGCAGCGACACUAUGUGUUGUUGGGUAGGGGAGCGUUCUGUAAGCCUGUGAAGGUGGCCUGUGAGGGUUGCUGGAGGUAUCAGAAGUGCGAAUGCUGACAUAAGUAACGAUAAAGCGGGUGAAAAGCCCGCUCGCCGGAAGACCAAGGGUUCCUGUCCAACGUUAAUCGGGGCAGGGUGAGUCGACCCCUAAGGCGAGGCCGAAAGGCGUAGUCGAUGGGAAACAGGUUAAUAUUCCUGUACUUGGUGUUACUGCGAAGGGGGGACGGAGAAGGCUAUGUUGGCCGGGCGACGGUUGUCCCGGUUUAAGCGUGUAGGCUGGUUUUCCAGGCAAAUCCGGAAAACCAAGGCUGAGGCGUGAUGACGAGGCACUACGGUGCUGAAGCGACAAAUGCCCUGCUUCCAGGAAAAGCCUCUAAGCAUCAGGUAACAUCAAAUCGUACCCCAAACCGACACAGGUGGUCAGGUAGAGAAUACCAAGGCGCUUGAGAGAACUCGGGUGAAGGAACUAGGCAAAAUGGUGCCGUAACUUCGGGAGAAGGCACGCUGAUAUGUAGGUGAAGCGACUUGCUCGUGGAGCUGAAAUCAGUCGAAGAUACCAGCUGGCUGCAACUGUUUAUUAAAAACACAGCACUGUGCAAACACGAAAGUGGACGUAUACGGUGUGACGCCUGCCCGGUGCCGGAAGGUUAAUUGAUGGGGUUAGCGGUAACGCGAAGCUCUUGAUCGAAGCCCCGGUAAACGGCGGCCGUAACUAUAACGGUCCUAAGGUAGCGAAAUUCCUUGUCGGGUAAGUUCCGACCUGCACGAAUGGCGUAAUGAUGGCCAGGCUGUCUCCACCCGAGACUCAGUGAAAUUGAAUUCGCUGUGAAGAUGCAGUGUACCCGCGGCAAGACGGAAAGACCCCGUGAACCUUUACUAUAGCUUGACACUGAACAUUGAGCCUUGAUGUGUAGGAUAGGUGGGAGGCUUUGAAGUGUGGACGCCAGUCUGCAUGGAGCCGACCUUGAAAUACCACCCUUUAAUGUUUGAUGUUCUAACGUUGGCCCGUAAUCCGGGUUGCGGACAGUGUCUGGUGGGUAGUUUGACUGGGGCGGUCUCCUCCUAAAGAGUAACGGAGGAGCACGAAGGUUGGCUAAUCCUGGUCGGACAUCAGGAGGUUAGUGCAAUGGCAUAAGCCAGCUUGACUGCGAGCGUGACGGCGCGAGCAGGUGCGAAAGCAGGUCAUAGUGAUCCGGUGGUUCUGAAUGGAAGGGCCAUCGCUCAACGGAUAAAAGGUACUCCGGGGAUAACAGGCUGAUACCGCCCAAGAGUUCAUAUCGACGGCGGUGUUUGGCACCUCGAUGUCGGCUCAUCACAUCCUGGGGCUGAAGUAGGUCCCAAGGGUAUGGCUGUUCGCCAUUUAAAGUGGUACGCGAGCUGGGUUUAGAACGUCGUGAGACAGUUCGGUCCCUAUCUGCCGUGGGCGCUGGAGAACUGAGGGGGGCUGCUCCUAGUACGAGAGGACCGGAGUGGACGCAUCACUGGUGUUCGGGUUGUCAUGCCAAUGGCACUGCCCGGUAGCUAAAUGCGGAAGAGAUAAGUGCUGAAAGCAUCUAAGCACGAAACUUGCCCCGAGAUGAGUUCUCCCUGAGACUUAGAGUCUCCUGAAGGAACGUUGAAGACGACGACGUUGAUAGGCCGGGUGUGUAAGCGCAGCGAUGCGUUGAGCUAACCGGUACUAAUGAACCGUGAGGCUUAACCUU